UGCAGCAUUCAGAGGAAGCCUUAUA
Molecule: non-coding RNA, 25 nt
Filed under: Rattus norvegicus (Norway rat)
Lineage: Eukaryota; Metazoa; Chordata; Mammalia; Rodentia; Muridae
Source: RNAcentral